UUUAAAGAUGCCAGUUGUGUCAAUCAUUAUUUUUUGUUGGGAUUAUAUUUUCUCUUUUGGGAAUUUUUUACAUCUCUAUGCCUAUGAAUUUGGGCUUUGUUGAUACUAGCAAACAUGUUAUGAUUAUUAGGCCAGAAAUUCUGUGUUAUACAACACUCUACAGUGCUUUGAGUAGAAGCCACUCGGGUGUGACUUUCAAGACCUUUCUGUGUCAUGCUAUGUAUCUGCCAUAACAACAGAAUAAGAUACUCCAUCCAGCUGUGACUGUCAGCCACCUGGUAACUAAUGUAUUUUGUGGUGACUUUUACUGUCCCUGCCAUUUUAUAAAUAAUUGUCCUGCCUGUUGCCUUAAGCAAUUAAUAGCACAAAUUCUGAUACCCCAUGCCCCAUCAUGGUGACAAUCCACCAAUUCCAUCUGUGAAUGUAUGGACUCAGGAGAUAGUCUGUCAUCUCUUGGAUGAAGCAAUUACUGGUCAAUGUGUGUCAGCUGGAAGAUGAAGGGCUCUAUGCUCUGAAAGAGGUGAGUUUCAAUUCUCACACUGUCAUGUCAGUGAUUUUGGGGUGAAUGGCCACCUGAGGUCAAGAUGAUUUGCAUAGAAAAGUUAAUGGUGAUACAGUGCAGUGUGUAGAGGUCAGGGCAUGUGACUGGUGAUCAGCAUUUAGGGAGCUCAUGGGACAUGCACCUGGGAAUGGACUAAAAAAAGAAUAAACCUCCUUUCCAUUUCUCCAAGUCCUUCUGAAAUGCUUGUUUGGCAGUUGUUGAGAAGACAGAAGAAAAAGGCCCAGGUGGAGAACUUCCCCAUGUAAUACUUCCUUUGGCUUGCAUUUUCCUUGCUCUUGCUCCACACUAUGGGCUGGGUACAGUAUAAAUGAAGAUGCUGGGAGAUAGCUACACAGUUUUGGAGGGUGCCCACUCAUAAAUAACUUGAUGCAAGAUGAAGAUUUCAUUUUGGAUGUUUAAAACUGAGUUCUUCAAGACUUGUUUUGUAUGUAAAUACAAGGAAGCCUAUACAAGAAAGCACCACAAAUAAAACCCUUCUUUUAACUGU
Molecule: long non-coding RNA, 1049 nt
Organism: Passer domesticus (house sparrow)
Lineage: Eukaryota; Metazoa; Chordata; Aves; Passeriformes; Passeridae
Exons: 2
Source: RefSeq, a predicted model, not a curated record